This 449-nucleotide ribosomal RNA is filed under the name uncultured bacterium. Its description in RNAcentral is "partial 16S ribosomal RNA". It matches the Rfam family "Bacterial small subunit ribosomal RNA", at positions 29 to 523 of the family's 1533-position model. The record is from RNAcentral.
AACGAACGCUGGCGGCAUGCCUAACACAUGAAAGUCGAACGAGACCUUCGGGUGUAGUGGCGCACGGGUGCGUAACGCGUGGGAAUCUGCCCUUGGGUACGGAGAUACACUUAGAAAUGACUGCUAAUACCGUAUAAUGACCCCGGGUCAAAGAUUGAUAGCCAAACGAUGGGCUAGCGUCGGAUUAGCUAGUUGGUGAGCCAAAAGCUUACCUAGGCGACGAUCUGUAGCUGGUCUGAGAGGAUGAUCAGCAACACCGGGACUGAGACACGGCCCAGACUCCUACGGGAGGCAGCAGUGGGGAAUAUUGGACAAUGGGCGAAAGCCUGAUCCAGCAAUGCCGCGUGAGUGAUGAAGGCCUUAGGGUUGUAAAGCUCUUUUACCCGGGAUGAUAAUGACAUUACCGGAAGAAUAAGCCCCGGCUAACUCCGUUCCAGCCGCCGCCGUAA